GUUUGUUCACGUGGUGGAAUCCCAAAAGAAGGAGUGGAAGCAUGCAAUGCUUCUCGAGACUUAGACUGAGAACCAGUACACUAUAACUUUCAUCACAUCCUGCUGGCCAAAGCAAAUCCAAAUUCAAGAGGAUCAUGGCGGCCACUGUGUUGGAGAUAGACUAAAAAGGGACAGAGCCAGAAGCAAGGGACCAGCUGGGAGGCCACUCCAACUACACAGCGCCAGAGCCCAUGAAGCGAGGUCAGGUCCUAAUGCUGCUCUGGAUCGAUGGCCCUCGGACGCCCACGUGAGGCUGCGGCGGCUCAGCAAUUUCCUGCCAUCACUUGCUGAGCACAAAUGAAAUCACUUCCAGUGACCUAAUGCGUGCUGCUGCCACCGAGAAAACUGAAAAAAGAGGUGAAGAGGGAGCCGCAGGAGAAGCCGGGGAGCACAGGUGCUCUCAGGCUGUGUCUCUAGGGUGCAGUGAGACUGGAAGGGCAUUUGCAACCCAGGAAGGCAGCUCGCUGUCCAGAAACACGCCUGCCUCCCUUUGCCCACUUGUGAAGUCAUCAGAGGCUACCUGAGAGCCGAGCAUGGGCUUCUGAGGGGUCUGCAAAGACCCUGAACUUGUCUGCAGGCUUUGGUGUGAGUGUGCAGGUUAUCUGGGAAGAUUUCCCAAAGAAUCUGUGCCCCUCAAAAGGUGGCAUUGCCUUAAAGAGCUGGCAGCUUCCCCUCCGGGUUCCCUGAACAUUGCCAGAGUGAAUUAGCACUGAGAGCUCCGAGAUGUCCUUGCUGGCAGUGGCCAUGGGUGCUGGUCUAUCCACAGCCCCCUGAAGCCGAAGGUGGAAGGUCAGUCCAGCUGCCUUUCUGCUUCCCUGGACUCCCUGCUGUAGCCCCAGCCCUGGAGCCAGCGUGACCCUGGGGGAAGCCUGCCUCUCACUCCAGAGGCAACCUGGGCCCCGCACAACCAGGGCAGCCCUCCCCCCGAGGGAAGAGAAGUGAGGGAAGGGAAGCCACACUCUGGAAUCAGGCGCAGUGCCCAUCACUUCAGAGCAUCCAUUUACUUCUUACAACACCUGCGACAUGGACCUCAUUGUCCCCAUCUUCGAAAGGGUGAAGCUAAGGCCUGGAGACAUUCACUUGCUCAAGAUUACACUGAGACCUCUCUGUUGGGUCAGGUGUGCAGGCCUGCUGUCCCCAGAGCCAAGGCUUUUCAGCCCCAGGACACAAGAGAUCGUUCGGGGGUGGGGGGGCAGUCUGCGAACCAUUGUGUUAUAGCUAUGGUUCCCCCACAGCAGUGUUUGCUCCCACGGUCCAGCAUUUGCACAUCCUGUUUCCACUGUCUGCGGGUCCCGCUCAGCCACUGUGGACUUGAGAAAAAAUCCACUCGCCUGUCAGCCCUCAGCUCAGCUUUCUUCUGUGCUCAGAAACCCUCUCUGCCCUCCCCCAGCCUCCCCCCCACCCGCCCGCAGCCGAUUUCAGUCCUUUCUUCUCAGCUCCCAAGCACAACACAGACUUUUAUUAAAGGACACAACACGGAGUUCCCGUCGUGGCGCAUGGUUAGCGAAUCCGACUAGGAACCAUGAGGUUGCAGGUUCGGUCCCUGCCCUUGCUCAGUGGGUUGACGAUCCGGCGUUGCCCUGAGCUGUGGUGUAGGUUGCAGACGCGGCUCGGAUCCAGCGUUGCUGUGGCUCUGGUGUAGGCCGGUGGCUGCAGCUCCGAUUGGACCCCUAGCCUGGGAACCUCCAUAUGCCGCGGGAGCGGCCCAAAGAAAUAACAAAAAGACAAAAAAAAA
Molecule: long non-coding RNA, 1774 nt
Filed under: Sus scrofa (pig)
Lineage: Eukaryota; Metazoa; Chordata; Mammalia; Artiodactyla; Suidae
Description: lncRNA (ENSSSCG00050014522.1)
Source: RNAcentral